RNAcentral lists this ribosomal RNA (1376 nucleotides) under uncultured bacterium. Its description in RNAcentral is "bacterial SSU rRNA". It matches the Rfam family "Bacterial small subunit ribosomal RNA". The record is from RNAcentral.
AGAGUUUGAUCCUGGCUCAGGACGAACGCUGGCGGCGUGCUUAACACAUGCAAGUCGAACGGUAAGGCCCUUCGGGGUACACGAGUGGCGAACGGGUGAGUAACACGUGGGUGAUCUGCCCUGCACUUUGGGAUAAGCCUGGGAAACUGGGUCUAAUACCGAAUAGGACCACGGGAUGCAUGUCCUGUGGUGGAAAGCUUUUGCGGUGUGGGAUGGGCCCGCGGCCUAUCAGCUUGUUGGUGGGGUGAUGGCCUACCAAGGCGACGACGGGUAGCCGGCCUGAGAGGGUGACCGGCCACACUGGGACUGAGAUACGGCCCAGACUCCUACGGGAGGCAGCAGUGGGGAAUAUUGCACAAUGGGCGCAAGCCUGAUGCAGUGACGCCGCGUGAGGGAUGACGGCCUUCGGGUUGUAAACCUCUUUCACCAGGGACGAAGCGCAAGUGACGGUACCUGGAGAAGAAGCACCGGCCAACUACGUGCCAGCAGCCGCGGUAAUACGUAGGGUGCGAGCGUUGUCCGGAAUUACUGGGCGUAAAGAGCUCGUAGGUGGUUUGUCGCGUUGUUCGUGAAAACUCACAGCUUAACUGUGGGCGUGCGGGCGAUACGGGCAGACUAGAGUACUGCAGGGGAGACUGGAAUUCCUGGUGUAGCGGUGGAAUGCGCAGAUAUCAGGAGGAACACCGGUGGCGAAGGCGGGUCUCUGGGCAGUAACUGACGCUGAGGAGCGAAAGCGUGGGGAGCGAACAAGAUUAGAUACCCUGGUAGUCCACGCCGUAAACGGUGGGUGCUAGGUGUGGGUUCCUUCCUUGGGAUCCGUGCCGUAGCUAACGCAUUAAGUACCCCGCCUGGGGAGUACGGCCGCAAGGCUAAAACUCAAAGGAAUUGACGGGGGCCCGCACAAGCGGCGGAGCAUGUGGAUUAAUUCGAUGCAACGCGAAGAACCUUACCUGGGUUUGACAUGCACAGGACGCCGGCAGAGAUGUCGGUUCCCUUGUGGCCUGUGUGCAGGUGGUGCAUGGCUGUCGUCAGCUCGUGUCGUGAGAUGUUGGGUUAAGUCCCGCAACGAGCGCAACCCUUGUCCUAUGUUGCCAGCGGGUUAUGCCGGGGACUCGUAGGAGACUGCCGGGGUCAACUCGGAGGAAGGUGGGGAGGACGUCAAGUCAUCAUGCCCCUUAUGUCCAGGGCUUCACACAUGCUACAAUGGCCGGUACAAAGGGCUGCGAUGCCGUGAGGUGGAGCGAAUCCUUUCAAAGCCGGUCUCAGUUCGGAUCGGGGUGUGCAACUCGACCCCGCGAAGUCGGAGUCGCUAGUAAUCGCAGAUCAGCAACGCUGCGGUGAAUACGUUCCCGGGCCUUGCACUCACCGCCCGUCAA